CUAGCCUAUCUGGUUAAAUAAAGGUGAAAUAAAAAAUAAAAAAACAUGCCUGCAGUGGAGCUGGAAUGUCCUCCACCCAAUGCCAUCUGCAGUGUGUGUAGAGUUUUGGAGGAGGCUGAGCUUUGGCGCUGUGGGGAUUGUGGCUCAGAUAAAUAUUCCUGUGCCACCUGUGCUGUGAGAACACACAGCACUCCCAACAUUGUACACCAGUUGGAGUUAUGGAAGUCAGGGCAGUUCGUCCCAUGUGUCCCGGUGGGCCUACAAUGGGAGUGGAAGAGACAAUGUGACCAUGACUGUCAAAGCCAGUACAACCGUCUUUUGACAGUUGUUGACGUUAGAGGACGAGCUCAUGACGUCUGGCUAAGGCUGUGAGCUGGAACCUGUCACCCUGAUCUGCCACAGACUCUACCUUUCCACCCCCCGAGAGACUGUCAGGAAGUUGGUGCCACUGACCUCGGACAGAACAAAGUGUCCUCUCUGUCCACAGGGGUGGGUGGGGAUGCGCUGUGAUCCAAACCCAAAACCCAGAAACUGGACAUAACUGGUGUGUUUAGGAUGGCGUGCAGGCACGAGCAUCCGCUGAAGUUCCUGAACCUGAAGAGAGGAGAGAAGUAUGUUGAUUGAUGCAUGUGGGUGGGUGGAUGGAUGGAUGCUUCAGAUGUGUAGCUGGUGUAUUGCUGAUCUAUUUUAGUUAUAUAUAACAUUGGCUACAAUGACUGAUGUUGAACAGUCAUUUCCGGCUUGCAAAUGCACUAUUUUAAGGCUUGUGUAAAUGUCCUGCUUAAUAUAAUGUUUGUGUCAUCAUCACAUAUCAACUGCCUUAUAGUUAAAAAACAUUUCAACUUCAAAAUGUCUCUUUUGGCUAGCUUUUGCUACAGCCUAUGUC
This is a long non-coding RNA of Salvelinus sp. IW2-2015, 886 nucleotides long. RefSeq lists it as uncharacterized. NCBI's taxonomy places the organism in Eukaryota, Metazoa, Chordata, Actinopteri, Salmoniformes, Salmonidae. The record is from RefSeq and is a predicted model, not a curated record.